UGUCACGGGGCGAGCGGGCCGCACCGGGCUCCUGCGGGGCCCCGCGGCUUCCCUUCGGCCUGGCCGCGGCUGCCCGGCGGCAUCCGCGCUCUACCACCAUGCUCAGGCGGAUUCUGCAGCGGACUCCAGGUAGAGGUGGGUCUCAGAGCUCGGAUUCGGAUUCAUCUGCCACGCCUGGAAAUGCCGUGGACGUGAACAACGACGGCUCCUCAGAGGGCUUCAUCUGUCCAUUGUGUAUGAAAGUGUGUGUAACUCCCACUGAUCUGUCUGAACAUUACCAGAGUGAGCACACUGGGACAGAAGGAAGACAGGAGCUUCGUGACCUCCCAGCUACUAGUGGCUUUAUUUGUCCUCUCUGUAUGAAGUCUCAUGGAUCAGCAGAGGAGCUGUUCAAGCACUAUGAAGCAGUUCAUAAUUCUGGCAUUGAUUCAAGUCACAGAGGGGAAGGUCAUCUGUCACCAGAAAGAGAUGAAGUAUCACUGCUCCGACAAGAAGUCCAGGACUUGCAAGCUUCACUGAAGGAGGAGAGAUGGUAUUCAGAAGAGCUGAAGAAAGAAUUAGAGAAAUUGCAGGGGCAGCGGCAGCAAGAAUCUAAAUCUGAUGGAUUGACAACAGCUACAUCUACAGAAUCAUUAGAACGGCAACUAGAAGAGAUCCAAGUAGAAAAUUUUAACAUUAAGCAAAUGAAAGACUUAUUUGAGCAAAAAGCAGCACAACUGGCCACUGAAAUUGUGGAUCUUAAAUCAAAGUAUGAUGAAGAAAUCAGCCUUCGGGAAGGUGCAGAACAGAAGGUGACAAACCUGAGACAAGAACUGCAGAAAGAGAGAAGUACAGUAGAAGACUUAAAGACAGAGCUGCUACAAAGGCCUGGUGUGGAAGAUGUGGCUGUCCUGAAAAAGGAGCUGGUCCAAGUUCAAACACUGAUGGAUAAAAUGACGCUGGAACGUGAAAGAGAAUCUGAAAAGCUGAAAGAUGAGUGCAAGCACUUGCAGGCUGAGCAGGCUAACUCUGAGGCUACUAUUAACCAAUUAAGAGCUGAACUUGCCAAAGGACCUCAGGAAGUAGCUGUGUAUGUUCAGGAGCUGCAAAAACUUCAAAGUUCAGUUAAAGAGCUAGAACAGAAGAAUCAGAGUCUAACUGAGAAGCUGCUGAAGAAAGAACAGGACUACACCCAGCUGGAAGAAAAACACAAUGAAGUAUCUGUGAGUAAGAAGAAUGUGCAGGCAAGUUUUCACCAGAAGGACCUGGACUGCCAACAGCUUCAGGCAAAGCUGUCUGCUUCUGAAGCCUCGAUACAGAGACUGCAGACAGAGCUAAGUGAGAAGGCAGAAGCAAGCCAGAAGCUUAAAGAGGAGUUAUCUGAAGUAGAAACAAAGUACCAGCAUCUCAAGGCAGAAUGUAAACAGCUCCAGCAGCAGAGGGAGGAAAAAGAGCAGCAUGGCCUGCAACUCCAAAGCGAGCUCAGUCAGUUGCACAGUAAACUCCUAGAAACAGAGCGGCAGCUGGGGGAAGCGCACGGGCGGCUCAAGGAACAGAGGCAGCUGUCCAGUGAGAAACUGAUGGACAGAGAGCAGCAGGUGGCUGACCUGCAGCUAAAACUUUCUCGUGCUGAAGAGCAGCUAAAGGAAAAAGCAGCAAAUUCCACAGAAUUGCAACAUCAAUUAGAAAAGGCAAAGCAGCAGCACCAGGAGCAGCAGACCCUUCAGCAAAAUACAACAGCAAAACUACGAGAAGCCCAGAAUGAUCUGGAGCAAGUUCUACGACAAAUUGGAGAUAAGGACCAAAAAAUUCAAAAUCUUGAGGCUUUGCUUCAAAAAAGUAAGGACAACAUCUCUCUGCUAGAAAAGGAAAGAGAGGACUUAUAUGCAAAAAUUCAAGCUGGUGAAGGAGAAACUGCAGUUCUUAACCAGCUACAAGAGAAAAACCAUGCAUUACAAAUACAGGUAACUCAGCUGACAGAAAAGCUGAAAAAUCAAUCAGAAAGUCAUAAACAAGCCCAAGAGAAUUUGCAUGAACAAGUGCAGGAACAAAAGGCACACCUAAGAGCUGCUCAAGAUCGUGUGCUUUCCCUAGAAACAAACAUCACUGAACUAACCAGUCAGUUAAAUGAAAGUAAAGAGAAAGUGUCACAACUUGAUGUGCAGGUAAAAGCAAAGACAGAAUUGCUACUUUCAGCAGAAGCAUCAAAAGCUGCUCAGAGAGCAGAUCUACAGAACCAUCUGGACACUGCCCAGAAUGCACUGCAAGAUAAACAACAGGAGUUAAAUAAGGUCAGUGCUCAGUUGGAUCAGGUGACAGCUAAGCUGAAUGACAAGCAGGAGUACUGUACUCAGCUGGAAGCCAAUCUUAAAGAGUACAAAGAAAAAUGCCUUUCUUUAGAACAGAAAAUUGAAGAACUAGAGGCACAGCUUAAGAAACUUGAAGGUGACAUUCUUGAUGCUAGAGCAAGUAAAGAGCAAGCUCUUCAGGAGUUACAGCAAAAGCAACAUCAGAACAAAGAAUUAGAUCUCCGGACAGCAGAACUGAGUAAACAACUUGAAGCAGCAAGAGAAGCGAUGUCUAAUGCUCAACUGGAUUUGCAGAAGAAAUCUGAGGCCCUUGACCAAGCAAAUCAACAAAUUAAAAAGCAGGAGGCAGAAAAGGCCAGUCUCAAACAAAACCUUGAGAAAUCAAAUCAAGAUACAAGUAAACAGCUCAAGGAACUUGAUUGUAAAAUGCAAGCAGCCACAUCAGAGCUGCAACAAGUGAAGUUAGAGAAGGACACUCUAUUAAAGGACCUUACACAUACCAAAGAUAAGCUCUCAAAAAGCUCUGAAUCCUUCAAAAAAAGAAAGGAGGAAUUAGAAAACGAAAUUAAAAAAGGAAAAGCAGCUAUGGCAGAAAUGGAAAAGUCUUGCCAAGAGUUAAAACACCAACUUCAGAUACAAACAGAGUCUGUAGCUAAAGAGAGGAAUGAAUUGAAAAACUCACUGGAGAAAAAAGAGGUGAUUUCUAAGCAGUUGUCUGUAGACCUUGAUUCAGCAAGAGCACAAGUACUGGAAAUCCAGGGUCUUCUGAAGGAAAAAGAAAAAAGUGAGCAACAUCUCCAGGGAAAGCUGAGAGAGUUAAAAGAAUCUUUUGAGCAGAAGAAAAAACAUAGUGAAACAUUGCAAGCUGAAUUAAAAACUGCCCUUUUAGAAAAGGCAGAGCUGGAGAAUAAACUACAACAGCAGUCCAUUUUGUCAGCACAGGAGCUUAAAGCAGAGAAAGGCAAGCUAGCAGAUUUACAGAAGGCCCAUGAUAAACAUAAAGAAAACAUGGAGAAGCUGCAGCUGGAUCUUUAUGGCAAAGAGUCUGAGCUGCUGGCAACCAGGCAAGACCUUAAGUCCACAGAAGAAAAACUUGCUCUAGCUCAAGAAGAAUUAGUUUCCAGCAGGAAUCGAAUUGCUAGCAGUAAUCAACAGAUUCAGGAGCUGAAGAAAGCUCAGUCUGCACUGGAGCAGGAUGCAUCAAAGAAAGAACAGCAGCUGGGUGAGAAGACCAAAAUGCUGCAAGAUCUUCAGAAUGACAGGAUUUUGAAAGAAAAAGAUUUGGCUAAUGAAAAAUGUAAAACGGCAGAGCUCCAGGAAAUAAGGAACAGACUUGAAAAAGAAAGUGCCAAGCUGGGUGAAGAGCUUAAAGCCUGCAAGCAAGAAUUUGAGAAGGAGGUGACAAAUCUCAAGGAUGGAAACCAGCUAUUGAUUCAACAGAAAUUAGAACUGCAGGGCAAAAUAGAUACUGUGAAUUCAACUCUGGAACAGGAGAAACAAAAACAUCAAGCUGUCAAAGAUCAGCUGAAAAAGAGAGAAGAGGAGCUGAAGAAAGAAUGUGCUGAAAUUGAAGCCAAACUGCACACAGAGAAAAAAGACAAAGAAGAAGAAAAACGGAAACAUGAGGAAAAAGAGACCAAGCUCACCAUGCAGGUGACAGCCCUGAAUGAAAACCUGGCUACCAUGAAGAAAGAGUGGCAGAGCAGUCAAAGACGAGUGAGUGAGCUGGAGAAGCAGACAGAUGACUUACGUGGGGACAACGCUGUCCUGGAAGCAACAGUCCAGAAUAAUCAGGAUGAGAGAAGAGCCUUGCUGGAGAGGUGUAUAAAAAGUGAGGGAGAAAUUGAAAAGCUUCAGGCCAAACUUGUAGAAAUGAAGAAAAAGUUGGACAAUACAACGGCUGCAAUGCAGGAACUUGGCCGAGAAAACCAGUCAUUGCAGAUCAAACACACACAAGCUCUCAACAGGAAGUGGGCAGAAGACAAUGAGGUACAGAAUUGUAUGGCCUGUGGAAAAGGCUUUUCGGUGACAGUAAGAAGGCAUCACUGUAGACAGUGUGGAAAUAUCUUUUGUGCUGAGUGCUCAGCAAAGAAUGCCUUAACUCCUUCUUCCAAGAAGCCUGUCCGAGUCUGUGACACUUGCUUUAAUGACUUGCAAGGAUAACUGGCUGUCGUGAGUGACAAAGAAAGGUUACACUAAAAUUUACUAUUUCUGUUGAUGCACUUCAUUCAGCACUCAGACUACUAUUCAGUUUGGACAAUGAUUGUAACACUUGGCAAAAUCUAGUAUAUUUUAAAAUGUUUAUUGAUACCAAGCAAAACUAUUGUAUUUUUUCGUGAGACAUGGGCUCAGAUAAUUCAUAGCUUACUGACAUUCAUCAUGGAAAGAGCUUUUAUGUCUAGAUUAGAACUAUCCAGUUAUUUGUAAAUAAAGUUUAAACAGAGGAGUAACAAUGUAUUUUUUUAUCUUUUAUUUUUUUGUUCAAGAGAAACGGCAUUUAUGUGAUAUUGGAAUUUAUUCUUGUUUCCUUCAAAGACAAAGGAAGAUGCAAACUUGUGAGGAUUUUAUGUAUCAAAUGUUGCUGUAAAAACAUAACUAAUUGUUGCAUUUGAUUGUGUAUCUGAUGGUCUUUAUAACCCCCUGUGAUUUGUUUGGUUUUUUUUCUAUCUCUCUGGUUCUUGUUUUUCUUUCUGAAGUUUGAACUCCACAAUGAGGGUAAUGGCUGGACUCAACUUCAACUCAGUUUAUUUGCCCACUUGUAUUAUCAGCACCCAAGUCCUUAUCUAAUACAGCACUUGGGUGCUGGAACACCUUUACAUGUGCUCUAUUGCAUAGUUGGUGUGUGAGUGCAUCUGUCUUUCUGAGAGAGUUAUGUGUGAACAAGUGAUGAGACAAAGUUUAUCUGGCAUUGUAGCAAUAUUAUGCAUUACAAUAUUUCAUCCCAUAGUGAUUGAUUUCACGUUUACAAAUUUGGUUGACACAUUCUAAUAUUCAAGAAACUCUUACAUCAUGUUGUUUUGCAUUAAAAAGCAAAGAAACAAUGCUGGUAGAAGCCUGUAGCACAUCUCUGCCCCUGCCCAUACCCUGGAAGCAUUGAGAGAUCACUGCUGUUCUAAGGGACAUCCAGACCUUCCAAGCCAGGCAUCCAACUGAGAAAAAUUAUUUUUUGAGACAGCUGUAGUUUUUCUGGCCUUUUCUUCUGUCCCUUCCUCAGCUUUUGGUGGAAGAAGUUGAACUCCUGUAACACCUAACAAACCUCACUUUUCCAUUACUCCAUCUGACCCCCAUUACCAGGGGCUCUGAAGUGUUAUGUUAAUUGUGUGAUUUAGUCUGCUUAGAAUGGAAAACUGGCUUUGUUAUAAGCCAAAUAGUUCUAACAAAGAGGCCAAUAUGUAUGACAAUAAAUAUUUAUUCAUGCUUUCUGUACUGGGAACAGAAGUUUCUUGUGCAGUUCGUGUAAGCUCCAUACUUCUUUUUUGUUGUGAUUUUGUUUGCACCUCUUCAUUUUUGCUUGCCUGUCUCUAAUUUUUCCUUCCUUUCUGUCUGGGUAUUUCAAACCCUUAAGAUUAUAUUUUCUAAGCAGGGGUUAUGCCUUCCAAUAUUUAGGAAUUUUUUUUUUGUCUUAAAUACCCUAAUAAAUUCUCUACCCCUCAAAUGCUUCAGUAUCUUACCAAUUUUUGCCAGCUGUUCAGAGAAAAAAGUUGUGUCCUGAAUUCCUCUACUUCUUUUCUGAGGCAAGGAAUCAAAUUCUGUCACAAUGAUGGUAGCUUAGUCAUCAUUAGGAAGGUUUGUUUGCUUUUAUCUAGUUACAGCUCUAUAUGUGAAUGAAGAAGUGUCUUCUUUAUAAAAAAUGUCUUGAUUAACUGUCAAGUGAGGAAACUUCGUCCUUCUACUCCAGAAGUAGUGAUCUAUAUGUUUCAUAUCCUCUUUCACCUUACCCAGCAAGUUCUACAUUUGCACUGUCAAGGAGUUCUGUUAAAAUUCAGUUCUUAUUUCCCAGAAGACAGCUGAAUGAUGUGACUUGUUCUUGUCAUAGUAGAAGGGUUUGGGUUGCAACUGUGGUUCAUACAAAACACUGACCUGUUUUUCUGGUUUGGACUUGAGUUGCUGGCUCAAAAAAGAAAAACAAACUGCUGCAACAAUUCCAUAUGAACAGAGCCUCUGGACUCCCUGUUUCUCCUCAUCAGUAUAACUGUUUGGCAUAAGAAUCUUUUGAAUAGAAAAUAUGAACAGAAUCUCUGCCUCUGGGAUUUUUUUUUCUAUUUAUUUGUUUACUGAGAGAAACAAAAAAAAUUGCUUUAUAGUCUUUCUUUGUCUGGCUUUAGAAAUGUGGGAAAAGUAGAGAUGUGACGGUUGUGCUCCAGCAUAGAUGCAUUCUGCCCUUUUGUGUAACACACAAGAGCCUUGUGCUGUUCUUUGGGUGAAUGACAGCCACACAGAACAGGAGGGAUUUUGAGCAGGAAGGGAGAAACUUCCCACAGCUGCCUAAGAUUAAAACACAUGAGGCAGAGGAAGAUGGGGAUCUUUCAGUGGAACUUGGAAAGUGGUUAGAAGAUUCAGUUGUGUUUAGGCAUUUUGCUUUUGAUUGGGAACAUAUGAAAGCUCAGGAGUGACUUCUUCAGUGGUAGAAGCUCUGGAAGGAAGCUCUAGAAGCUCUCUUAAUUCAGCCUUUUGGGAUAUCAUUGUAUAAAGACAAGCAGAGUCACCUUUCUCAGCGGGCUGCUGAAGCAGUGCGGUUGGUUGACUGCAGAUCACACCUUGAAGUGGAGCUCUUCAGCUUCAGGGGCAAAACCAGCUUAAUUUUUGAAAGUUGCUUUUUGCUGCCUAGUUUAUAUGAGCAGCUUUUAGAGGAGAUGGAAAUGCUUUUUGAAUGCACAUUUGUAGAAAGAAGGAUUGUUAAAAUCUGGAGGAACAGUGGGGUAGAAACUUUCAUGUUUGAGCUUUGAUUCUGCAGCAAUAGAUCAUGAUUUCCACAGCUUUUCACUGUGAAAAGUGAAUUUAUGACUCCAUGGCUGAGUCUCAUGCUCCUUGUUUUGUACUUGUAACUCUUGGUUCUGGUCUGUAUUUGUUGACAAGUUGAUGGUGGACUGACUCUAUAAUACUUGGCUUCACUGCCAGGUUGGAAUCUGUGUUCAAGCUCAAGAAAAUAUCCCAUAAUAAGGGAAACUGAAAGGUGAAAAGCUGUGUAUUUACAAAUAUGCUUGCAGAAUCUGUUUUGAUGGGCAUGUUUCAGUAGGAAUGUGGGCUUUUUGUUCCACUGCCUUCUAAGUAACUUGAAAACCAAGUAAAAAGUAAAAAGCCUGGUGACUAUUACCACAGUAAAAAAAGGAUUCCAGUCAAAACAUUUUAAUUCACUGAUUUUUGAGACUGCAGACACAGAAACAGAGGGGAAAAAUAAUAAAAUGGCAGAAGAGACGGACUCUUGGAACUGGAGAAUGCAUAGUUAUGUGUUUUUACAGCUUCUAGCAAUAGGCAGAAUGCUCUGAUUCCCUGAGGAGUGGCCAUUUUAGAGGAAGAGGUGAAAAUGAUGGCAAAACCAGCACUCAAACCAGUAGGUUUGUGGGAUCCUCAAGCAGCUUUUGAUUGCUACUCCUUACUGUGGCAUCAGGAAUGGGACAGUGAAGUGUGGGCUUUGUUCUUGAAACUGUGCCAUCUGCAGGAUACUCCAUCCACAUUCAGAAUUGCUGCAGGAGCAGAAUGUGAGAGACCAACUGCUUCAUGGGCAGAAAUAAGCUACAGAAGCUUUUGUAAAUGUGUAAAGGAUGGUCUUACUAAGGGUGGGGAGAGGUUCUUUUAACUUCCUGGAGACAACACCUCUCUUCCCAGUCAAAGACUCACAGUCCCUUGGAUUUUUGCCCCACAAAUGCCAAAUCCUGCUGUUCCACUCUGGCCUUAUGUCAGCAGUACAUCACACUGGAGACAGGUAGCAUUGCAGAGGUCCGUGGCAGGCUUUUGAUCUUAGCUGGCUCUCCUUCACUGUUAUUUAUUUCUUCUCCCCACGUACUCCCUAAUGUAAUCUUCCCCCUUCUGCAAAUGUUGAAUGAAGAGGAUAAAAGUAAUGAGUCACAGUAGGAAAAGUUGCUGUCUGGAGAUGAAGAGACAAAAGGAAUUUUCUGCUGCAGCUUCCAACAGAGGCAAGAGGUUUAGAGGGAUCUCAGUUUUCAGCUGGUUUCACUCUCUGGCACAAAUGUCCAUGACUGUAGGGUGAAAUGUGGGUUUUUGCCUCUGUUUUUGGAAGGUGUCAAGUAACCAAGUUGCCAUGGAGUGUGGAACACAAGGUACACAAGAACAAUGAGUAACUACUUUUGUUGGCUUUGGGACCAUUAGGGUUAUUUGUGAACCCUCACUGGAAAAGCUUUUUUAUUAGUGAAGCAAGAAGGGAUUUGGGAGCAGAAGCAUGGAGUAACCUCUCUGUGUUUGUAUUACAUGAGCCAGAACAACUGAGCUUCUCAUGCUAGAUGUAAGAGAAAUGACAUUCAUAAAGGAACCUGAAAAACUCAACUGCUUUUCUGGAUUAUUAAGUGUCAGUUCACCAUGGAGUGGAAACAAAUGCUUGUUACAAAACUUAAAAAUUUUAUGGCCAGUACUCAGUGAUGGACAGAAAAAUAUUGGACCUGAAGUUCAAAUAGAUUCUAAACUAUGCCAAGAAGAAUGAUAUUGUGAUUUGAGUAUGUAGAAACUGAUAAAUUACUCUUCUAAGUACCACCUCUCCUGCUCUCAUAUUGUCAGAGACCUAGGAAACAACACUGUCAUUUGCACUGUGCAUUUUUGGCUGUUUAAGAGAAUCUAUAGUAAGUGGAAUGGCGUCAUGUGCAUUGCAUGUGUUAGCUGUAGUCAUUGGACAGCAGGUUUAUAAUCAGCUGGAUUUUUCACUGUAUACAUUUGGCCCUAAGGAGAACUGCACUCACAGUUCCUUUUUCCAAAAACGCAUCAUCUGAGACCACAUAUAACAAAAACCUUGUUAGUCACACACAUGUCUUUGUAGAACUUAAUUUUAAGAUUAUAAAAUGAGAAAAGAAAGAAUUUUACAUAUUUGCAAGGAUCUUGCCAGUUGUCUGUUUCUUUGGUUUUGAAAUCUUGACCUCAGCAUCCAUUUUAGAAUGAGUUUAAAACUAUUGUCCAACAUAGGCACUCCAAAAGGACUAAUUGAUGUACUUUUCAAAGCCAACUGUAAUUGCAUGUAAGUCCUGCCAUUGAAAUUUGGUUUUGUGGUGUUUUUUCUGUUUCUUUUUAAAUGGACACUGAAUAAAAAAGUUUGCAUGUUUAGAGAGAAUAUUAGAUACCACUUAAGUUUCAAAUAAUGAAGAGUGUAGGUACUAGGUUAUGUAAUAAACUCUGCAUAUUGUCUGUAGCUCCCCACAUACUACACACUCACUAUGCAGUGGAUAGAGAAGUGUCUGUGCAUUUAAAGACUGAUGAAGCCCUGCUACCCCUUUGGAUCAAUAUUGUAUGAAAGCAGGAGCCUGGAAGGCACAUUUUCCAAUUUUCCCUCCCCCUGUGAUGGAAACUUAAAACUAAAACCAAAUUUGUCUGUAUUUUGUGCUUUUUCUUUGGGUAAAGAGGGCUGGGAAAGGAUGUUCAUUGUUAAAUGUCAACAGGUCAGUGCUGGCAGGUCCAGGCCACUGCUGUUGGCUUCAUGGCAAAGUCCUCCAUUGUACCACGCUGGAGCUUGAUUCCUGGCACAAAAGGGAUGUUGGAAAGAGCAUCUCGCUGGGUUAGCAAAUACCAGAACUUUUUAUAGUAAUAUGUCCAAAAUGCUGCUUGUAUAGAAAUAGUCACUUUUGUAAGAAAAGAAAAAAAGUUACAAAAAAAGUCACACC
Melozone crissalis (California towhee) is the source of this 10108-nucleotide RNA transcript. It is a transcript of the gene named early endosome antigen 1, with no coding region annotated. The transcript is spliced from 31 exons. The record is from RefSeq and is a predicted model, not a curated record. Lineage: Eukaryota; Metazoa; Chordata; Aves; Passeriformes; Passerellidae.